GCAGCAGUGGGGAAUAUUGGACAAUGGGCGAAAGCCUGAUCCAGCCAUGCCGCGUGUGUGAAGAAGGUCUUCGGAUUGUAAAGCACUUUAAGUUGGGAGGAAGGGCAUUAACCUAAUACGUUAGUGUUUUGACGUUACCGACAGAAUAAGCACCGGCUAACUCUGUGCCAGCAGCCGCGGUAAUACAGAGGGUGCAAGCGUUAAUCGGAAUUACUGGGCGUAAAGCGCGCGUAGGUGGUUCGUUAAGUUGGAUGUGAAAGCCCCGGGCUCAACCUGGGAACUGCAUUCAAAACUGUCGAGCUAGAGUAUGGUAGAGGGUGGUGGAAUUUCCUGUGUAGCGGUGAAAUGCGUAGAUAUAGGAAGGAACACCAGUGGCGAAGGCGACCACCUGGACUGAUACUGACACUGAGGUGCGAAAGCGUGGGNAGCAAACAGGAU
RNAcentral lists this ribosomal RNA (438 nucleotides) under Pseudomonas fluorescens. RNAcentral describes it as "bacterial SSU rRNA". It matches the Rfam family "Bacterial small subunit ribosomal RNA", at positions 348 to 778 of the family's 1533-position model. The record is from RNAcentral. Lineage: Bacteria; Pseudomonadati; Pseudomonadota; Gammaproteobacteria; Pseudomonadales; Pseudomonadaceae.